GGGGUGGAAAUGGCUUCGACUGGUGUUAUUUGAUAAUUAGUGCAACAGAGAUUGAGUAGGUCUCGUGACAAAAGACUCACAAAACCAAAAUGGCGAUAAAUCGCUUGAAGGUUUGAACAUUGAUUGGCAUUUAACCAAUUCAGAAAUGGGAUUCGACAACUAUGUUGAGACCACUUCCGAUGUUCAAUCAUCUUACGCUUUCACGGCAUAAGUUCUUGGGUUGUUUAACACCCAGGCAUAAAAAAAGUUAAACAGAAACUCAUAGUCAGAGUAUAAAGCAGACAACAGUUAAACCAUUCUGUGUAAAAUGGGACAUAGUGGGAUUGUUAGUAUGACUACUUAUUUGGAAACUAACAAAAGUUGUAUAUCACUAAUUAUUGGAAACAUACAGGACACGGGUUCGAUUCCCGUCCACUCCACAA
This 422-nucleotide transfer-messenger RNA is filed under the name Candidatus Pelagibacteraceae bacterium. It matches the Rfam family "transfer-messenger RNA". From Rfam's summary of the family: Bacterial tmRNA, also known as 10Sa RNA or SsrA, is named for its dual tRNA and mRNA-like properties. Its role is to liberate the mRNA from a stalled ribosome. Lineage: Bacteria; Pseudomonadati; Pseudomonadota; Alphaproteobacteria; Candidatus Pelagibacterales; Candidatus Pelagibacteraceae. The record is from RNAcentral.